UUAUCCUUAUUGGUUAAUCUGUUCCACCUGUACCUUCGGCCUCCCUGUCUCCUUGCUGCACCUGUUCUGUGUUUUUUGAUUAUCUGUCCUUUGUUCUCCUCUCACAUCCUGCUGUAUAUGAAUUGGUCUGUGCUCUUUGUUCCCUGCUGGUUCCUUGUUGUUGUUCAUCUUCACUCUGUUCUGCCCGCCCGCUAGACCAGGACUCUGUUUUAUGUUUGCUUUGUUCCUGCAAGGAGUACACAUACUGUCUGCUGAUGAGCGUAAGGGGAGAUGAAGGAGAUUCUGAAGAGAAACUAGAAUAGAACCAAGAGGAAGCAGAUAAGGUGAAUACAAAAGGGGCCAGGGAAUUGAGCCCUGUGAAACCCCAAAGGUAAGAGGUGCUGAAGUGGAAAAACAAUUACCGACAUUGACCGAGAAGCGUCUGUCUCUCAGACUUCAAGUACGUUUUGAUCGGAGGUGGGAUUGGCCUCGUCUUAUCUGCUCUGUUUAUUCUGUCAAAGAUCUGCAUGAUCAGGAACCAAGCGCAGCAAAACUUUCCAGCUGCAAUCGGUCCUUUUGAGUCAUCUCAGU
Long non-coding RNA from Girardinichthys multiradiatus, 570 nucleotides. RefSeq lists it as uncharacterized. NCBI's taxonomy places the organism in Eukaryota, Metazoa, Chordata, Actinopteri, Cyprinodontiformes, Goodeidae. The record is from RefSeq and is a predicted model, not a curated record. The transcript is spliced from 5 exons.